RNAcentral lists this ribosomal RNA (253 nucleotides) under uncultured bacterium. Its description in RNAcentral is "partial 16S ribosomal RNA". It matches the Rfam family "Bacterial small subunit ribosomal RNA", at positions 524 to 776 of the family's 1533-position model. The record is from RNAcentral.
UACGUAGGGUGCAAGCGUUGUCCGGAAUUAUUGGGCGUAAAGAGCUUGUAGGCGGUUUGACGCGUCUGCUGUGAAAUUUCGGGGCUCAACCCCGAACUUGCAGUGGGUACGGGCAGACUAGAGUGUGGUAGGGGAGACUGGAAUUCCUGGUGUAGCGGUGAAAUGCGCAGAUAUCAGGAGGAACACCGAUGGCGAAGGCAGGUCUCUGGGCCACUACUGACGCUGAGAAGCGAAAGCAUGGGGAGCGAACAGG